UACGUAGGGUGCGAGCGUUUAAUCGGAAUUACUGGGCGUAAAGCGUGCGCAGGCGGUUCGUUGUGUCGGCGGUGAAAGCCCCGGGCUUAACCUGGGAAUGGCCGUUGAAACUGGCGAACUGGAGUGUGGCAGAGGGGGGUGGAAUUCCGCGUGUAGCAGUGAAAUGCGUAGAGAUGCGGAGGAACACCGAUGGCGAAGGCAGCCCCCUGGGCUGACACUGACGCUCAGGCACGAAAGCGUGGGGAGCAAACAGG
Molecule: ribosomal RNA, 254 nt
Filed under: uncultured bacterium
Lineage: Bacteria
Description: partial 16S ribosomal RNA
Rfam family: Bacterial small subunit ribosomal RNA
Source: RNAcentral